AUACGGAGGGUGCAAGCGUUGUUCGGAAUCAUUGGGCGUAAAGCGGGUGUAGGCGGUCGUGCAAGUCGGAUGUGAAAGCCCGAGGCUCAACCUCGGAAUUGCAUUCGAAACUGCACGACUAGAGUCCCGGAGAGGAAGGCAGAAUUCCCGGUGUAGAGGUGAAAUUCGUAGAUAUCGGGAGGAAUACCAGUGGCGAAGGCGGCCUUCUGGACGGUGACUGACGCUCAGACCCGAAAGCGUGGGGAGCAAACAGGAUUAGAAACCCUGGUAGUCC
Molecule: ribosomal RNA, 274 nt
Filed under: uncultured bacterium
Lineage: Bacteria
Description: partial 16S ribosomal RNA
Rfam family: Bacterial small subunit ribosomal RNA
Source: RNAcentral